AUGAACGAAUCUUCCUCGAGAAUAAAUUUAUACACAAGUUUGUUUCUCAUGGAGGCACAGAUUUGCUACUGCGAGAUGCACAAUUGUGUCUCGCAGAAAAGGAAAAAAAAGUGGGAAUACAAUAGUGCUUCUGGCUCGAUAUCAAGAGUACUAGAGGGGACUCUCAAGGGGAAGAGGUUCUUUGGAGGCGACUCCAUUGGCCUCGUUUACAUAGCAGCCAGUGGGUUAGCUCGCUGGCUCAGAGCCUUCGAAGAGAUCUCCGGGGUGAAUCUACUCACGGAUGAACAGUUCCCGGCUCUGUGCCGCUGGGCGAAAGAAUAUGCCGCGACGAGCGUGCUAAGGAGUGCCUGCCGAACAUGGAUGAACUGGUCGCCAAGUUCACUGCAGUGA
RNAcentral lists this ribosomal RNA (390 nucleotides) under Triticum aestivum (bread wheat). RNAcentral describes it as "partial small subunit ribosomal RNA". Lineage: Eukaryota; Viridiplantae; Streptophyta; Magnoliopsida; Poales; Poaceae. The record is from RNAcentral.